AGGGGGCUGGUGACUAUCCAAUUGGGAGGAAGCUCCGCCCACCCAUUAUGUGCAACAAUCCCGAGAGGGAUUGAAUGGGGCAUAGAAACGACACGGCCUUAAAACAGAUGACGAUGAUAUCCGAAAAUUGAGGAGUUUUAAGGAAUCGGUGAAACGGCCCCAUUCUGCACGGGUGCAAGCAUUAGCGUUUAGCUGAAUGUCGCCGAAAUUACAGAAGGCGGGCUAUAGCCCCCA
Molecule: RNase P RNA, 234 nt
Filed under: Methanothermococcus thermolithotrophicus
Lineage: Archaea; Methanobacteriati; Methanobacteriota; Methanococci; Methanococcales; Methanococcaceae
Description: Archaeal RNase P
Rfam family: Archaeal RNase P
About the family: Ribonuclease P (RNase P) is a ubiquitous endoribonuclease, found in archaea, bacteria and eukarya as well as chloroplasts and mitochondria.
Source: Rfam by way of RNAcentral